Molecule: ribosomal RNA, 147 nt
Filed under: uncultured Leptolinea sp.
Lineage: Bacteria; Bacillati; Chloroflexota; Anaerolineae; Anaerolineales; Anaerolineaceae
Description: partial 16S ribosomal RNA
Rfam family: Bacterial small subunit ribosomal RNA
Source: RNAcentral
CGUACAGAGGUUGCAAGCCGCGAGGUGGAGCCAAUCCUCAAAAGUUUGGUCUCAGUUCAGAUUGCAGGCUGCAACCCGCCUGCAUGAAGAUGGAGUUGCUAGUAACCGCAGGUCGGCUAUACUGCGGUGAAUACGUUCCCGGGGCUU